AACCGAAUUCUGCUCAGCCCUAAUUGCAUAUGAUAACCUAUACAAAGGUAGUGCUCAAAAUUUUACUGAUAUUAUUUGUUUCUUUUCUAUUAUGUGAGUAGCAGUGAAUUGGCUGGAACUAAGAAUUGGUGUUAAAUUCAUUUAAAUAAUGAGGAACUGGUGGAUUGUUCUUUUUAUCAGUCAUGAUAAUGCAAAAGAUGAGAAAAGGAUUAAGAUAUUUCUCUUUCUUUGGUUUUAAUGUUCUUUCAAGUUCAGGGUGAGCUUUUUUGUGAUUUUUUGUGGAUUUAUUCAUGGAAAAUUGUGUUAGUUUUUUAUAAGCUCUACCUCUCUCAAGGUUGAACCGAGCCAACUGACUGACCUGUUUAUGUUUAAGAAGUGUCAAUCAGAGCACUUUUCCUAAGUGAGUUCGAGGGAGGACAAGAGAUUGAAAUGAGAGUGGUUGUCAGCAAAACCUGUAGCCAUGUAGGUUGCUUCAGUGUUUGUUGGAGCCUUAUGUCUAAUAACUAAGGAGAUUUGUUUAUAUCUUCCUAGCAAAUUGUUUUAUCUUUCCAGUUCCUUGAUCCGAUCACUUGCCAAAAGGCACGUCUUAACUACAUCAGACUGUCCAUUUUAUGUUCUGCUGUAAUUAUUGCCAUGCUUAUAUGCAUCAUUUGUUAUCCAUAGUGGUAUUGGUUGAUGCAAAUUUUGAAUUAGUGUUUGUUUUCUUCUGGUACUCUACAAUGCAUUUGGUCUUUGUGUUCUAGUAGGUGCAUUAAAAG
This 758-nucleotide unclassified non-coding RNA is filed under the name Hevea brasiliensis (rubber tree). Lineage: Eukaryota; Viridiplantae; Streptophyta; Magnoliopsida; Malpighiales; Euphorbiaceae. The record is from RNAcentral.